RNAcentral lists this transfer RNA (72 nucleotides) under Polypedates otilophus (Bongon whipping frog). Its description in RNAcentral is "tRNA-Val". It matches the Rfam family "tRNA". Rfam says of the family: Transfer RNA (tRNA) molecules are approximately 80 nucleotides in length. Their secondary structure includes four short double-helical elements and three loops (D, anti-codon, and T loops). Lineage: Eukaryota; Metazoa; Chordata; Amphibia; Anura; Rhacophoridae. The record is from RNAcentral. RNAcentral also lists the same sequence under 1 other name.
CAAAAUGUAGCUUAAUGAAAAAGCCUUUUGCUUACACCGAAAAGAUGUCUGUACAACCCAGAUCAUUUUGAG